GUGCAAUGAGGUCUGAGCUGCUCUGGAGAAUGAAACAGCUGAAGUGAAACCUGAAGCAACUGGUUGAAAACUUCACCAUUAAGAGGGGCAGUGGAUCUACGUUACCACCCAUGUGCAUCAUUCCUUGUGAAUUGCGUGCACAUGCAAGGGGGUGAAGGCGAGUGCAGGACGCAGGAUCUGGCCAGGGAGCAGGAAUGGAGAAACAGAGGCAUGGAGAUUCCUAGAUUUUAAGGCCAGAAGGGACCAUAUAAUGAUCCAAUCUGAUCUCUUGUGUAGCACAGGUCAGAGAAUUUCACCCAAUGAUUCUCGUGUCAAGCCUAUAUCUUCCAGCUGAGCUAGAGCACAUCUUUUAGAAUUAUAAGGGAAGCGACUUGUCCCU
This is a long non-coding RNA of Chelonoidis abingdonii (Abingdon island giant tortoise), 379 nucleotides long. Lineage: Eukaryota; Metazoa; Chordata; Testudines; Testudinidae. The record is from Ensembl.